This 1449-nucleotide ribosomal RNA is filed under the name uncultured prokaryote. RNAcentral's name for it is "partial 16S ribosomal RNA". It matches the Rfam family "Bacterial small subunit ribosomal RNA". The record is from RNAcentral.
GCGGCAGGCCUAAUACAUGCAAGUCGAGGGGUAAGUUUAAUGCUUGCAUUAAACACGACCGGCGCACGGGUGCGUAACGCGUAUGCUACCUACCCACUACAAGGGGAUAGGCUGUGGAAACAUGGAUUAAUACCCUAUAAUGCUCAUGAAUAGCAUUGUUUUUGAGUUAAAGAUUUAUUGGUAAAGGAUGGGCAUGCGUGACAUUAGAUAGUUGGUGAGGUAACGGCUCACCAAGUCAACGAUGUCUAGGGGUUCUGAGAGGAUGAUCCCCCACACUGGUACUGAGAUACGGACCAGACUCCUACGGGAGGCAGCAGUAGGGAAUAUUGGUCAAUGGGCGAGAGCCUGAACCAGCCAUGCCGCGUGUAGGAAGACGGCCUUCUGGGUUGUAAACUACUUUUAUAUGGGAAGAAAAAAGCCUUGCGAGGCAAAUUGACGGUACCAUACGAAUAAGCACCGGCUAACUCCGUGCCAGCAGCCGCGGUAAUACGGAGGGUGCAAGCGUUGUCCGGAUUUAUUGGGUUUAAAGGGUGCGUAGGCGGAACAUUAAGUCAGUGGUGAAAUCUUACGGCUCAACCGUAAAACUGCCAUUGAUACUAUUGUUCUUGAGUACAGUUGAGGUGGUUGGAAUGCGUAGUGUAGCGGUGAAAUGCAUAGAGAUUACGCAGAACGCCAAUUGCGAAGGCAGAUCACUAAACUGUAACUGACGCUGAGGCACGAAAGCGUGGGGAGCGAACAGGAUUAGAUACCCUGGUAGUCCACGCCGUAAACGAUGGAUACUAGAUGUUCGGCUAAUUGACUGAGUGUCCAAGCGAAAGCGAUAAGUAUCCCACCUGGGGAGUACGUCCGCAAGGAUGAAACUCAAAGGAAUUGACGGGGGCCCGCACAAGCGGUGGAGCAUGUGGUUUAAUUCGAUGAUACGCGAGGAACCUUACCUGGGCUAUAAUGUGAGUGACCGUCCGUGAAAGCGGAUUUUCUUCGGACACGAAACAAGGUGCUGCAUGGUUGUCGUCAGCUCGUGCCGUGAGGUGUUGGGUUAAGUCCCGCAACGAGCGCAACCCCUAUUCUUAGUUGCCAGCGAGUAAUGUCGGGGACUCUAAGGAGACUGCCUGCGCAAGCAGUGAGGAAGGUGGGGACGACGUCAAAUCAUCAUGGCCCUUACGCCCAGGGCUACACACGUGCUACAAUGGCCGGUACAAAGGGUUGCCAACUCGCGAGAGUGCGCAAAUCCCAAAAAGCCGGUCUCAGUUCGGAUCGGAGUCUGCAACUCGACUCCGUGAAGCCGGAAUCGCUAGUAAUCGCGUAUCAGCUACGACGCGGUGAAUACGUUCCCGGGCCUUGUACACACCGCCCGUCAAGCCAUGGGAGUUGGGGGUGCCUGAAGCCGGUAGCCUAACCGGAGCUGUUUAGGGUUAUACCAGCAACUAGGGCUAAGUCGUAACAAGGUAU